Molecule: ribosomal RNA, 2330 nt
Filed under: Salmonella enterica subsp. enterica serovar Typhimurium
Lineage: Bacteria; Pseudomonadati; Pseudomonadota; Gammaproteobacteria; Enterobacterales; Enterobacteriaceae
Description: partial 23S ribosomal RNA
Rfam family: Bacterial large subunit ribosomal RNA
Source: RNAcentral
AGAGGGGGCUUAGUGGUGGGGUGACUGCGUACCUUUUGUAUAAUGGGUCAGCGACUUAUAUUCUGUAGCAAGGUUAACCGAAUAGGGGAGCCGGAGGGAAACCGAGUCUUAAUUGGGCGUUAAGUUGCAGGGUAUAGACCCGAAACCCGGUGAUCUAGCCAUGGGCAGGUUGAAGGUUGGGUAACACUAACUGGAGGACCGAACCGACUAAUGUUGAAAAAUUAGCGGAUGACCUGUGGCUGGGGGUGAAAGGCCAAUCAAACCGGGAGAUAGCUGGUUCUCCCCGAAAGCUAUUUAGGUAGCGCCUCGUGAAUUCAUCUCCGGGGGUAGAGCACUGUUUCGGCUAGGGGGCCAUCCCGGCUUACCAACCCGAUGCAAACUGCGAAUACCGGAGAAUGUUAUCACGGGAGACACACGGCGGGUGCUAACGUCCGUCGUGAAGAGGGAAACAACCCAGACCGCCAGCUAAGGUCCCAAAGUCAUGGUUAAGUGGGAAACGAUGUGGGAAGGCCCAGACAGCCAGGAUGUUGGCUUAGAAGCAGCCAUCAUUUAAAGAAAGCGUAAUAGCUCACUGGUCGAGUCGGCCUGCGCGGAAGAUGUAACGGGGCUAAACCAUGCACCGAAGCUGCGGCAGCGAACGUAUCACCCAAGACAACUUUACGGAGUUGACGAUUGACGGAGCGAAGCGACGUCAAAGCGUUCAUUAAAGUCGAGUUGGCUUAGGGAUACGUUCGUUGGGUAGGGGAGCGUUCUGUAAGCCUGUGAAGGUGUGUCGUGAGGCAUGCUGGAGGUAUCAGAAGUGCGAAUGCUGACAUAAGUAACGAUAAAGCGGGUGAAAAGCCCGCUCGCCGGAAGACCAAGGGUUCCUGUCCAACGUUAAUCGGGGCAGGGUGAGUCGACCCCUAAGGCGAGGCCGAAAGGCGUAGUCGAUGGGAAACGGGUUAAUAUUCCCGUACUUGGUGUUACUGCGAAGGGGGGACGGAGAAGGCUAUGUUGGCCGGGCGACGGUUGUCCCGGUUUAAGCGUGUAGGUGUGUGUUCCAGGUAAAUCCGGUUCACUUUAACACUGAGGCGUGACGACGAGGCACUACGGUGCUGAAGCAACAAAUGCCCUGCUUCCAGGAAAAGCCUCUAAGCAUCAGGUAACACGAAAUCGUACCCCAAACCGACACAGGUGGUCAGGUAGAGAAUACCAAGGCGCUUGAGAGAACUCGGGUGAAGGAACUAGGCAAAAUGGUGCCGUAACUUCGGGAGAAGGCACGCUGACACGUAGGUGAAGUGAUUUACUCAUGGAGCUGAAGUCAGUCGAAGAUACCAGCUGGCUGCAACUGUUUAUUAAAAACACAGCACUGUGCAAACACGAAAGUGGACGUAUACGGUGUGACGCCUGCCCGGUGCCGGAAGGUUAAUUGAUGGGGUCAGCGCAAGCGAAGCUCCUGAUCGAAGCCCCGGUAAACGGCGGCCGUAACUAUAACGGUCCUAAGGUAGCGAAAUUCCUUGUCGGGUAAGUUCCGACCUGCACGAAUGGCGUAAUGAUGGCCAGGCUGUCUCCACCCGAGACUCAGUGAAAUUGAACUCGCUGUGAAGAUGCAGUGUACCCGCGGCAAGACGGAAAGACCCCGUGAACCUUUACUAUAGCUUGACACUGAACAUUGAGCCUUGAUGUGUAGGAUAGGUGGGAGGCUUUGAAGUGUGGACGCCAGUCUGCAUGGAGCCGACCUUGAAAUACCACCCUUUAAUGUUUGAUGUUCUAACGUGGACCCGUAAUCCGGGUUGCGGACAGUGUCUGGUGGGUAGUUUGACUGGGGCGGUCUCCUCCUAAAGAGUAACGGAGGAGCACGAAGGUUGGCUAAUCCUGGUCGGACAUCAGGAGGUUAGUGCAAUGGCAUAAGCCAGCUUGACUGCGAGCGUGACGGCGCGAGCAGGUGCGAAAGCAGGUCAUAGUGAUCCGGUGGUUCUGAAUGGAAGGGCCAUCGCUCAACGGAUAAAAGGUACUCCGGGGAUAACAGGCUGAUACCGCCCAAGAGUUCAUAUCGACGGCGGUGUUUGGCACCUCGAUGUCGGCUCAUCACAUCCUGGGGCUGAAGUAGGUCCCAAGGGUAUGGCUGUUCGCCAUUUAAAGUGGUACGCGAGCUGGGUUUAGAACGUCGUGAGACAGUUCGGUCCCUAUCUGCCGUGGGCGCUGGAGAACUGAGGGGGGCUGCUCCUAGUACGAGAGGACCGGAGUGGACGCAUCACUGGUGUUCGGGUUGUCAUGCCAAUGGCACUGCCCGGUAGCUAAAUGCGGAAGAGAUAAGUGCUGAAAGCAUCUAAGCACGAAACUUGCCCCGA